This is a long non-coding RNA of Pseudopipra pipra, 2587 nucleotides long. RefSeq lists it as uncharacterized. NCBI's taxonomy places the organism in Eukaryota, Metazoa, Chordata, Aves, Passeriformes, Pipridae. The record is from RefSeq and is a predicted model, not a curated record. The transcript is spliced from 2 exons.
AUUAAACUUUUUUUUCUUCCUGGGCUUAACCCACCACAACUAAAACACUGACAACGUUUUGCUGGCAGCAGGAUUGAUAUGAUCUGGGUGAGAAUUGUAUUGUGAGCUUAUUUACACCCUAUUUUUAGAUAUUCUCACCCUUCAGGCCUGGUUGGAUCUAAGAUAAAGACGCAGAAAACAAUUCUCCCGCUCAUAAUAUUAAAAAAAAAAUUAAAACCAAUUAAACCCCACUGUUUUUUUUCUAAUUUGAGGACAAUUUUUGCCUCUCCAUCCGUAAGUUAUGAUACUGCAGACCAGCAGCAGGUAAAAUGAUUUGAAAAGUAAAAAUAGAUCAAAAAAAAAAAAGAAGAAGCAUUUAGAACUUGACGAGUCGAAUGUUAUUUUUAUUAAACAUCAAGUCCUUACCGCUGCAAAUUUAAUCAGCACUUUACAAACAGAUAGAAAAGAGUUCCCUGCCCUGAAGGCUCACAGGCUGAGUUUAAGAAAAUAUAUAAAAUAUAGGAACAGUUUAACCAGAACCCACAGAAAACCACUGGGGACCUGAUUAGUUUAUCCACUUACUGGACAGACCCAAACUGCCUGUCAGCACGUGGCAGCAACUGUCCACCCAACCCUGAGAAGGGACAAAAGGUGACACUUUCUGUCCUCACAGGUUUGAUUUGGGGAAAAUAAUGGAUAAGUGCAGCGAGAGGGGCUCACCCCACACAGACCUUCUCCAGAGCCAUGGCAUCCAAGACCUCGGCAGCACUGGGAUCGCUGUCCCCGAGGGGAUGAGCCAGCCAGCUGCACCCUCCCCUUGGAGGACACUUUGGGAGCAGCAAGGGGCAGGACCCAAUUAGGGAAGGGACUAAAGCCCAAUUAGCGACGAGGAAAACAAGCAGCGGGUUUAGAACAGGUCGAGCAGCAACGUCAUCCCCGUGUUUGGGAUGUCUCAAACCCUGGGAAUUCUAAUGGUUUGGGAUCUGGUGAGAGCUGAUCCCCAGGAACAAAACCCACUCGUAUCCCAAGCUCCCAGAAGCGGGAGAUGAAGGCAACUGUGAAAUACAAACCCAAGUGUGAAUGGAGAGGCAAUUCUCCCCAGCCAAGGGGCUGGGAAACCAAACAAGAGGUUUCCUGGCUCGGUUGCACUGGGAACACCACAGAGGUGGCGAUGCCACCACAGGGGUGCUCAGAGGUGACAAGACCAGAGCAAAUUCCCCUCAGUUACUGCAGUGCAAAUCCAGAGGCUCCAGCGGAGCGUGUCCUGGUCCACAUCAUAACAACCCCAAGCAGAACGUGGCCUUGUCACCCUCAUUCACAGCAAAGUCAAUCCGACUUCAAGGAUAAAACCACCCAAAGGAUGGAAACUGCAAACAGAGAGCCAUGUGUGAGGGCAAAAUCAUCAAACAGAGCCAAUAAGGUUGGCAAAGACCUCUUGGACCACGGAGUCCAACCAUUCCCCAGCACUGCCAAGGCCACCAACUCAUGUCCCCAAGUGCCACAUCAACAUGGCUUUGAAAUCCCUCCAGGGAUGGGGACACCACCCCUGCCCUGGGCAGCUGUGCCAGGGCCGUACAGCCCUUUUCAGGGAGAAACUGUCCCAAUUUCCAACCCAAACCUCCCCUGGCACAACUUGAGGCUGUUUCAUCCAAGCAGGGAUCAGCCUCCUGUCUGGAGUGUCCCUCCCCACUGUGCAGUGACUGACGGUGGAGAGGUGACAACACAACACAAGGGGCUUGAGAAAAAACAUCCAAGAUUUAGCCACAGCAGGGAAAACAUCAUCAAAACUAUUAUUAUUGGGAAUAACAGAGCCAACCCAGCUCACUGGUGACUUCCCUAAGCAGCUCCACUGCUCUGGAGCACAGCCCUCCUGAGGGUGCAGCCACCAAACAGGAGAAGUCCCAGGAGAAGAGCAGGUGUGCUCUGGAGGGCACAGGACAGGAGCCAGAGGGAGUGGAGCCUUCUGGGCUCGCACACAUCCAACAGAAAUCCUUCCCUGGGAGGGUGGGGAGGCCCUGGCACAGGUUGCCCAGAGAAGCUGUGGCUGCCCCAUCCCUGGAAGUGUCCAAGGCCAGGUUGGAGCAACCUGGGCUAGUGGAAGGUGUCCCUGCCCAAGGCAGGGGGUGGAACUGGAUGAUCCUUAAGGUCCUUUCCUGCCCAAACCAUUGCCAGGCCCUUCCGUGAUGCCCCAGCUGUGCCCUCCCUUCGGCUGGAUCCCGCAAUCCCAGAGUGGUUUGGAUAAAAAGGACCAUAAACCCCCUCCCCCUGCCCAGGUGGGAUCAGUGUCCGAUGGCUCCGUUCCCGGGAACGAGUCCAAGACAGAGCCGUGGGCGUUCCGGAAUGGGGAGGGACAGCGCGAUCCGGGAAGGGCAAAUAAACCCAGGGAUGGAUUUAUGAGCAGGAAUUCCCCCAGCUCAGGGUUUGGGUUUGGGCAGGGAGGGUGGUCAGAGUUCACCCUGGAAUAGAAACUUCCCGGUGAAAACUCACCAGAUUUUCCCUUUUUCAUUCCCAAAGUUGCCUCCGAGGAUUUUGUGGCUGUUUGGAGCCGGCACAGGGCUGGCAAAGGUGCUGAAAAAUCACAUUUAAAUAAAUCUGUUUUGUGGCUGUU